AUUGAACGCUGGCGGCAGGCCUAACACAUGCAAGUCGAACGGUAACAGGAAACAGCUUGCUGUUUCGCUGACGAGUGGCGGACGGGUGAGUAAUGUCUGGGAAACUGCCUGAUGGAGGGGGAUAACUACUGGAAACGGUAGCUAAUACCGCAUAACGUCUCAAGCCCAAAGAGGGGGACCCUCGGGCCUCUUGCCAUCGGAUGUGCCCAGAUGGGAUUAGCUUGUUGGUGGGGUAACGGCUCACCAAGGCGACGAUCCCUAGCUGGUCUGAGAGGAUGACCAGCCACACUGGAACUGAGACACGGUCCAGACUCCUACGGGAGGCAGCAGUGGGGAAUAUUGCACAAUGGGCGAAAGCCUGAUGCAGCCAUGCCGCGUGUAUGAAGAAGGCCUUCGGGUUGUAAAGUACUUUCAGCGGGGAGGAAGGGAGUAAAAUUAAUACCUUUGCUCAUUGACGUUACCCGCAGAAGAAGCACCGGCUAACUCCGUG
Molecule: ribosomal RNA, 490 nt
Filed under: uncultured bacterium
Lineage: Bacteria
Description: partial 16S ribosomal RNA
Rfam family: Bacterial small subunit ribosomal RNA
Source: RNAcentral